This 338-nucleotide unclassified non-coding RNA is filed under the name soil metagenome. RNAcentral describes it as "partial contains 5.8S ribosomal RNA, internal transcribed spacer 2, and large subunit ribosomal RNA". The stretch from base 1 to 120 matches the Rfam family "5.8S ribosomal RNA", at positions 35 to 154 of the family's 154-position model. The record is from RNAcentral.
GAUGAAGAACGUAGUGAAAUGCGAUAAGUAAUGUGAAUUGCAGAAUUCAGUGAAUCAUCGAAUCUUUGAACGCACAUUGCGCCCGGCAGUACUCUGCCGGGCAUGCCUGUUCGAGCGUCAUUUCAACCCUCAAGCCCUGCUUGGUGUUGGGGUCCCACGGCCGCCGUGGGCCCUGAAAGGAAGUGGCGGGCUCGCUACAACUCCGAGCGUAUUAAUUCAUUAUCUCGCUUAGGGCGUUGGGCGGCGCUCCUGCCGUUAAAGAACCAUCUUUAACUCAAGGUUGACCUCGGAUCAGGUAGGAAUACCCGCUGAACUUAAGCAUAUCAAUAAGCGGAGGA